Crotalus tigris (Tiger rattlesnake) is the source of this 3906-nucleotide long non-coding RNA. RefSeq lists it as uncharacterized. The record is from RefSeq and is a predicted model, not a curated record. The transcript has 3 exons. Lineage: Eukaryota; Metazoa; Chordata; Lepidosauria; Squamata; Viperidae.
UGUACACAGGGAUAGACUUGCCUGCUAAACAGAGUUCUUUUCCUGCUUACUUGCCACCUUGUUCCCAUUGUGCUUGAGGUGCCUCCAAUCAAGCCAUCUUCAGCACAGUCUUCUUGGAGAGAGCACCAGGUUUCUCUGAUCUUAAGAUGGAAAUCAGAAAUAUUCAUAUCUUUCUUUCUGUUCAAACCUUUUGGUUUGGCUGGUGGUUUUUGUUUCCAGACAAGAAAUAGGGUUUGCUGUUUAAUAAAUUGACCAAGGUGGAAAUCUACAUCAGACAUCCCAUUUUUUUUAAGUUGUAGUCCACUUUCUAAACACAUUUUUUAAAAAAUCUCAGAAUCAUGAUAGUUCUAAGCUCUUGGCAAAGGUAGGCUUCUUUUGGUUGCUCAGAGUAUAGAAAAUGUUUUUUGAGCAAACUGCUGGUUUUUGCUUCAGGUGGCUGGUGCUCUGGCUGGCUCUGUCAACUGUAGAAGGAAAAGACUUAAACCUUUUCCAAAGAGAAGAAAAGAGAGAUGUCAAUGUGGAGCUGACAGAGACAGACACUGAACCUGUUGAUGACUACACUGAGUUUCCAGCUGGAUGCAUCACAAAAAUGGCAAAGCGGUCCACUUCCUUUGGUUUAUCACAGCUUAGAGGCACAGAUAGCCAAGAAACCAACUGUCAGAUUGUCCCAGUAACAACUACAAUACCUCCAGUCACCAAGGCACAAACUACAACCAAAGAUAUGAAGAAGAAAACUCACACAAUUGAAACAGAAUCGUCAGAAGAUAGACCUCGAGUUUUAUAUUUUCUGCCCUAUUUUCCACGUCCAUCACACACUGUCUUUAAUAUUAUAUUUCCUUUCAAUAAAGGUGCCACUGGUUAUAACACUAUCUGGAAUAACAAAUUAUUGAGAGAUGACUCUUCUGAAGAAAAGAGAAGGAAAAGAGACACACUAAUGGUUAAGAAAAAAGCAAGACCUCUAUGAAGUGACAAGAUGAUUCUUUGCAAUGCUCACUUUUCUUUUCUUUUUUUCCUUUUGGCAAUCACAAAAAAGACAUUAAACAAUGAUUUUAUAACCAAGACUGAAACUAAGAGUGAAUCAACAGCCAAGAGUGAAUCAACUAUUGGACAUAUCAAUUUUUGAAUCUUUAAAUAAGCAAAACAAAUUUUACUUAUGAACAAUUUAAAAUAAGGAGAAAAGUUUUCUCAUUGAUGAUGAAUAGAAUUCUACAAUCCUUUGUCAUCAUACAAAGGGACCAGUUAAUUUUCCUUACUACUAGUUCUACCAGGACGCAACAACCUUAACUGGAUCAAAAGUCACUAUUUUCAGACAACAAUAAUCAGAGACUGGAGACAAAAAUAUCUAGUGUUCAGUAAGAACAGAUAACAGGAAUAUAUUUUGCCUUAGCAGUCUCUUCUCUACCAGUUAGGCAGGAAGCAGUGGAUAUAAAACAGAAAAGGAGAUUAAUUUGGGGGAGAAAAACCAUUCCAAAUGCUGGUGUAGGAUUUACAUUUCCUACUCAUUCUCCCAUCCCUUUCUGUAUCUUCCUUCCAAGCAAAUACACUCCCCUCCCCAGACCCACACCUACACAUUGCAUUUGCUCCCUAAACCCUUCCUGCUACCACUCUUUUUUCAGCAUUCCAGAAAUGGCCCAUAGAAAAACAGUUAUACAUCUUGCAAGGAAUUCAAAGCUGUUAAUGAGAAAGAAUAGUAACUACAUGGAAGACAACCAUUGCCAAACUACAAUUCCAAUAGAGAACACAAGACAACUCAGGAGGGAAGACAGGAAAUAAAGGAAUACAUCCAAGGGAUUGGAGACAUCCCUGGUAGCCAUAACCUACAGUCAGGAUUGCAGACAGCUAAAAAGAAAUCUCUCCUCUACCAAUUAUAUCAAACAAUUGGUAUUAUGAGACCAGGGUACUUGGGAGUAAUUCCUUGUGCUCUUCAUCCAUCAGAAUGGCAUCAUGCAUGGCACCCUUAAAAGGCAAACCAGGGAUAUUAUCCAGUAGUACAACCUCCUACCUCAGGACAUCUGCUCCAAAAACAUGAUGUUAGUAGAAAAGCUUUUUCAUUCGUUUUUCUCAUAUGGUCUAAGCUGCAGCAUGGAUUUCUGGUUGGGGAAUUCUGUGAGUUGAAGUCUACAAGUUUUAAAGUUGCCAAAUUUUGAGAGUUGUGACAGACGAUUACAAUGUCUCAGGUCUUCUUCCAUUUCUUAUGUGCAUGGAUUUAGACUGUGAGAAGUAGGUACUCCACUCCAUUCUUCAUGGUGCUCUAGGUGAAAGCAAGAUGCCAGAUGGGGUGGGAAGAGUAAGUGGAAUUUUUUAUUAUUGUGCUAUGAGAUUUGAUAGCAAGAAGACUAUUUCCUGGCUGUUUCCUUUUAGUUAUAACUAUUAUGGGCAGAGUGAUCUUGCCACAUAAGAAGGGUUUUAUUUUCACUUGGGAAUAGUUGGGAUCUUGAGUCCCAUGAUUGUAUCCAUAUUCAAAUAUUCUUCAGUUAACUUUGGAAGUGUGUGAGUCACUUAAGUUAGGGAUGCUACUUUUAUUUUUUCUCCUUUAUCUGCUUUCAUUACUGCAUGUGCUUUCAGAUAUGACUUCUAAGUAUCCUGAUGGAAAAGAUAGGUUGGUUCUUAUGCAAGCAAGCAGGACCUAUUCAGUGCCUUUUGUGUUCUACUACUGCCUUACAAAAUGCUAACCAUGGCUUUUUCUAUUUUUUCUAUCUCUUUGGGUCAAUUCAUUUUCAAAUGGGGCAAUGCAUAACCGCGCAGGAGUAAGGGGGAGUUAGUCCAUCUGGAUCAACAGAUGUUUUACAACCAGAACGCUCAGAACGGAGUUCCGGCACCUUUUUUGGGUGGAACCUUGUAGGGUAGGCAAGGCAGGUUGUAUGAUAUGUGUGAGUUCCGGCACCUUUUUUUUUUUUUUUUUUAGAAAAAGAGCACUGUUUACAACAUAUUUAUAUCUGUCUUCCCCAAUCUAUUUAUGUGUGUCAUGAGAAUAGGUCUAAAGAGUAUUAUACCCUGAUGUUUUCUUUUUAAGCUUUUAGAGGAAAAACCGAAACCUACUAUAUUUUCUUUUACACAACAGAAUUUAGUAAAACACUAAGACAAGUAUUGGAAUUCUUUGCCACCUCUAGUAGUCAUCAGAUUUUUGCAGUUCUGAUCUGAUAGACUUAGAUUACCUUCCAGAAGUGAUAUAAGGCCUGAGUAACCUGAAAAUGUAAUGGUUGGUCCUCGCUGAUUGUUUUUUUCUGGCUUUCUCUACUUAGGUGGCUUUUGGCAAAGAAUGAAAUGAGAAAGAAGGCUAUAGGUCUCCUCUCCCUUCCUUAGCAAAUGUCACAACCAUAUUCUGUGGUUAGGGAUCAAGGAAUUAGGGACCAAUAACCUUACAGACUGCUCAUUAAACUACAAUUUCCAGGAUUCUUGUGGGGAAAGAUUUCACACAACAUAUAAUGUUCUAAUUUUUCAGUGAUUUGUUGAUUUUGGGUAAAUUUUGGAAUGUUAUACAAGAACCAAAUCAAUUAAGCUUUCUUCAAUAAGAAGAAAGAAAAUCUAGGAAAAGGAAUCACUGUUAACUAACAACUGUAGAUUUGGAGUAUGUGUCCCCUACAGCAAUUUGGGCAUACAAGGAAGAGUACAAAGAAAAGGGGGGGGGAAUAUGAAAGAGGGGCACAUAACUAAGGCAGAAUACCAACAAAUAGUCCGAGCCUGCAAAGAUGAAGUGGGGAAAGCUAAGGCUCAAAAUGAACUAAGGCUUGCGACAAAAGUCAAAAAUAACAAAAAAAAGCUUCUUUCAACAUGUAAAAAACAAGGAAUAAGGAAAUUAUUAGACCAUUACUGGGAAAAAGUAGCAAGAAGGUGACAAGAAACAGGGAGAAAGCAGAACUAUUUAACUCGUUUUUUGCAUCUGUCUUUACACAAAGGGAAAAAACA